This 72-nucleotide transfer RNA is filed under the name Solemya velesiana gill symbiont. It matches the Rfam family "tRNA". Rfam says of the family: Transfer RNA (tRNA) molecules are approximately 80 nucleotides in length. Their secondary structure includes four short double-helical elements and three loops (D, anti-codon, and T loops). Lineage: Bacteria; Pseudomonadati; Pseudomonadota; Gammaproteobacteria. The record is from Rfam by way of RNAcentral.
GCUCCGUUCGUCUAGCGGUAAGGACACUGGCCUCUCACGCCGGUAACAGGGGUUCGAUUCCCCUACGGAGUA